This 1328-nucleotide ribosomal RNA is filed under the name uncultured Erysipelotrichaceae bacterium. Its description in RNAcentral is "bacterial SSU rRNA". It matches the Rfam family "Bacterial small subunit ribosomal RNA", at positions 27 to 1369 of the family's 1533-position model. Lineage: Bacteria; Bacillati; Bacillota; Erysipelotrichia; Erysipelotrichales; Erysipelotrichaceae. The record is from RNAcentral.
GGAUGAACGCUGGCGGCGUGCCUAAUACAUGCAAGUCGAACGGGGCGCAGCAAUGCGCCCAGUGGCGAACGGGUGAGUAACACGUAUGUAACCUGCCCUUAAGUCUGGGAUACCCAGGGGAAACCGUGGCUAAUACCGGAUAGGAGCGGAUGGGGCAUCCCAACCGCUUGAAAGUCGCGUUUGCGACGCUUUUGGAUGGACCUGUGGCACAUUAGCUAGUUGGCGGGGCAACGGCCCACCAAUGCGAGGAUGUGUAGCCGACCUGAGAGGGUGAACGGCCACAAUGGAACUGAGACACGGUCCAUACUCCUACGGGAGGCAGCAGUAGGGAGUUUUCGGCAAUGGGCGAAAGCCUGACCGAGCAACGCCGCGUGAGUGAGAAGGUCUUCGGAUUGUAAAGCUCUGUUACGAGGGAAGAACGGAUAGGUCAGGAAAUGGGCUUAUCGUGACGGUACCUCGCCAGAAAGUGACGGCUAACUACGUGCCAGCAGCCGCGGUAAUACGUAGGUCACGAGCGUUAUCCGGAAUUAUUGGGCGUAAAGAGUGAGCAGGCGGCAUAGGAAGUCGGAAGUGAAAGCGUGGGGCUCAACCCCAUACAGCUCCCGAAACUCCUAAGCUAGAGUGCGUGAGAGGUAAACGGAACUCCAUGUGUAGCGGUGAAAUGCGUAGAUAUAUGGAAGAACACCAGCGGCGAAGGCGGUUUACCAGCACGAUACUGACGCUCAGUCACGAAAGCGUGGGUAGCAAAUAGGAUUAGAUACCCUAGUAGUCCACGCCGUAAACGAUGAUGACUAACUAUCCCCUCUGGGGGUGGUGAAGCUAACGCAUUAAGUCAUCCGCCUGGGGAGUACGGUCGCAAGACUGAAACUUAAAGGAAUUGACGGGACCCCGCACAAGUAGUGGAGCAUGUGGUUUAAUUCGACGCUACGCGGAAAACCUUACCAGGGCUUGACAUGGAGGCCAAUGCCGUAGAGAUACGGAGCUUUAUGCCUCACACAGGUGGUGCAUGGUUGUCGUCAGCUCGUGUCGUGAGAUGUUGGGUUAAGUCCCGCAACGAGCGCAACCCUUGUCGUCAGUUACCAUCAUUCAGUUGGGGACUCUGACGAGACUGCCGAUGCAAAUCGGAGGAAGGUGGGGAUGACGUCAAAUCAGCAUGCCCUUUAUGUCCUGGGCUACACACGUGCUACAAUGGCCGGUACAAAGAGCUGCGAAGCCGCGAGGCUUAGCGAAUCCCAUAAAGCCGGUCUCAGUUCAGACAGGAGUCUGCAAUUCGACUCCUCGAAGGCGGAAUUACUAGUAAUCGCGGAUCAGAAUGCCGCGGUGAAUAC